This 87-nucleotide unclassified non-coding RNA is filed under the name Pseudomonas extremorientalis. Lineage: Bacteria; Pseudomonadati; Pseudomonadota; Gammaproteobacteria; Pseudomonadales; Pseudomonadaceae. The record is from RNAcentral.
UGGGAGGGGGGCUUGCCCCCGAUAGCAGUGGAUCAGCCAGCCUAUCUAUAGCUGACCCGCUGCAAUCGGGGGCAAGCCCCCUCCCAC